UGGGGAAUAUUGGACAAUGGAGGAAACUCUGAUCCAGCAAUUCUGUGUGUGUGAAGAAGGUUUUAGGACUGUAAAACACUUUUAGUAGGGAAGAAAAAAAUGACGGUACCUACAGAAGAAGCAACGGCUAAAUACGUGCCAGCAGCCGCGGUAAUACGUAUGUUGCGAGCGUUAUCCGGAAUUAUUGGGCGUAAAGCGCGCGCAGGUGGUUUAGAAAGUCUGAUGUGAAAGCCCACGGCUCAACCGUGGAGGGUCAUUGGAAACUAAUAAACUUGAGUGCAGGAGAGAAAAGUGGAAUUCCUAGUGUAGCGGUGAAAUGCGUAGAGAUUAGGAGGAACACCGGUGGCGAAAGCGGCUUUUUGGCCUGCAACUGACACUGAGGCGCGAAAGCGUGGGGAGCAAACAGG
This 407-nucleotide ribosomal RNA is filed under the name Verrucomicrobiota bacterium. RNAcentral describes it as "Verrucomicrobia bacterium partial 16S ribosomal RNA". It matches the Rfam family "Bacterial small subunit ribosomal RNA", at positions 355 to 776 of the family's 1533-position model. The record is from RNAcentral. Lineage: Bacteria; Pseudomonadati; Verrucomicrobiota.